GCAUAUCAAUAAGCGGAGGAAAAGAAACCAACCGGGAUUGCCCUAGUAACGGCGAGUGAAGCGGCAAGAGCUCAAAUUUGAAAGCUGGCCCCCUCGGGGUCCGCAUUGUAAUUUGCAGAGGAUGCUUCGGGAACGGCCCCCAUCUAAGUGCCCUGGAACGGGCCGUCAUAGAGGGUGAGAAUCCCGUCUGGGAUGGGGUGGCCGCGCCCGUGUGAAGCUCCUUCGACGAGUCGAGUUGUUUGGGAAUGCAGCUCUAAUUGGGUGGUAAAUUUCAUCUAAAGCUAAAUAUUGGCCGGAGACCGAUAGCGCACAAGUAGAGUGAUCGAAAGAUGAAAAGCACUUUGAAAAGAGAGUUAAACAGCACGUGAAAUUGUUGAAAGGGAAGCGCUUGCGACCAGACUCGCCCGCGGGGUUCAGCCGGCACUCGUGCCGGUGUACUUCCCCGCGGGCGGGCCAGCGUCGGUUUGGGCGGCCGGUCAAAGGCCUCUGGAAGGUAACGCCUCUCGGGGCGUCUUAUAGCCAGGGGUGCCAUGCGGCCUGCCCGGACCGAGGAACGCGCUUCGGCUCGGACGCUGGCAUAAUGGUCGUAAGCGACCCGUCUUGAAACACGGACCAAGGAGUCUAACAUCUACGCGAGUGUUCGGGUGUCAAACCCGUGCGCGCAGUGAAAGCGAACGGAGGUGGGAACCCCCCGGGGUGCACCAUCGACCGAUCCUGAUGUCUUCGGAUGGAUUUGAGUAAGAGCGUAGCUGUUGGGACCCGAAAGAUGGUGAACUAUGCCUGAAUAGGGCGAAGCCAGAGGAAACUCUGGUGGAGGCUCGCAGCGGUUCUGACGUGCAAAUCGAUCGUCAAAUUUGGGUAUAGGGGCGAAAGACUAAUCGAACCAUCUAGUAGCUGGUUCCUGCCG
This 907-nucleotide ribosomal RNA is filed under the name Penicillium citrinum. RNAcentral describes it as "LSU rRNA". It matches the Rfam family "Eukaryotic large subunit ribosomal RNA", at positions 38 to 963 of the family's 3401-position model. The record is from RNAcentral. Lineage: Eukaryota; Fungi; Ascomycota; Eurotiomycetes; Eurotiales; Aspergillaceae.